UGCCUGGUAGUGGGGGAUAACGUUCCGAAAGGAACGCUAAUACCGCAUACGUCCUACGGGAGAAAGCAGGGGACCUUCGGGCCUUGCGCUAUCAGAUGAGCCUAGGUCGGAUUAGCUAGUUGGUGAGGUAAUGGCUCACCAAGGCGACGAUCCGUAACUGGUCUGAGAGGAUGAUCAGUCACACUGGAACUGAGACACGGUCCAGACUCCUACGGGAGGCAGCAGUGGGGAAUAUUGGACAAUGGGCGAAAGCCUGAUCCAGCCAUGCCGCGUGUGUGAAGAAGGUCUUCGGAUUGUAAAGCACUUUAAGUUGGGAGGAAGGGCAGUAAC
This 330-nucleotide ribosomal RNA is filed under the name uncultured bacterium. Its description in RNAcentral is "bacterial SSU rRNA". It matches the Rfam family "Bacterial small subunit ribosomal RNA", at positions 127 to 459 of the family's 1533-position model. The record is from RNAcentral.